CAAAGCAAAGCAUAAUUAAAUGCAUCUCCUUUACACUGAGAAGAAGGUAUUUAUACCUGCUUUGA
This 65-nucleotide transfer RNA is filed under the name Iphione sp. YZ-2018. RNAcentral describes it as "tRNA-Val". The record is from RNAcentral. Lineage: Eukaryota; Metazoa; Annelida; Polychaeta; Phyllodocida; Iphionidae.